GCUUCGAUUCCGCCCUUCCCAUCCCGCAGCCCCCCGGCCCCGUCUUCUUCUCCCCCCCUAGCUCUGUAGCUCCCUGCCCCCCACUCCCCGGCCUCGGAGAAAGGAAGGCCGCCCUGGCACCGGCUCCUCCUCCUCCCCCUGCUUCGCCUUCCCGUCCCGGUCUGGAGCAGAGAUGGGUGUCUUCGGUGGAACACCUCCUCCAACCUGCCCCUCGUCGCGGCACUGCGCAGAAUGGGCCCGAACCUACCUGAAGUAUUGCUUGUGCAGCCAGAAGGACAGUGCUGCCCUGGCACUUGGGCUGAUCAGUGUCAUAAGCUGGGGCGUCGCCGAGGUGCCACAGAUAAUAACAAAUUACAGACAGAAGUCAACUGAAGGGCUUUCUAUCGCUUUUCUAAUGACCUGGAUAGUUGGGGAUUUGUUUAACCUUGUCGGCUGCUUCCUGGAACCUGCUACUCUGCCGACCCAGUUUUACAUGGCAUUGCUGUAUACAAUAACUACUGUGAUCCUAACUGGACAGACAAUAUACUAUAGCCACAUCUACCACCAUCUUAAAGCGAAGAAAUCCAGGGCAACCAGCAAGCCUCAGAAGCAUCAGCGAGGGGAUACUUCAUUACUUGAGAAGCUUUUGGGUGCCAAGGAUGGUGGGGUAUCCAGAAACAACAACCAGUCAAAUGCUACAAUUCCUAUUCCAAGCUCACCUAUUCCUGUUAAUACGAAAUUUGCCGAACAAUACCAUACUCCAAGCAGCCCCACCUCAGACUACUACUAUAUGUCAGCUAGAUCUUUAUCAAGGAGUCCAGUGCCAACUGCUGGUACAUGGUUGGGCAAUAGUCGUCAGUCAUCAAAGACGCCUCCACAAACGAAUGGCCAAAGCGAACCUUUAAUUGGUGAGAUCACUACAGCACAAUCUGCAUCACCUACUAGAACGAAAAAUACCCUCUCAGUGGUACCGUGGCUGGGUCUUCUGUUCAGCAUGUGUCUCUUGCACCUUUUAGUUGGAAGCACACAUAGGGAAGUGCCAAGUGGAACUGUCAUACCAGUGGGACGAAGGCUUUUACUGUUUAAUGAUGAUCAAGGACAUUCAUCUCUCAGCCAUGGCAAUGGAAGUGAAAUUGGAAUCUUUCUUGGUUGGGCAAUGGCAAUAAUCUAUAUGGGUGGACGGCUGCCCCAGAUUUUCUUAAAUAUGCAAAGAGGCCAUGUUGAGGGGCUCAAUCCAUUAAUGUUUACCUUUGCUUUAUUGGGGAAUUCGACAUAUGUAGGAAGUAUACUUGUAAAUAGCCUGGAAUGGUCAAAACUUAGACCAAAUCUGCCUUGGCUUGUAGAUGCUGGAGGAUGUGUUUUACUGGAUUUUUUUAUUAUUCUUCAGUUCCUUUAUUUUCAUUACCAGAAGCAAAAUGAGCCUUCAGAUGAGCACGAACACAAUGCAGAUAAAGCUUAGUCGACAGCAAGAGAUAAAUCCCUUUCCUUCUUCAGGGCAAAAGUCAGCAGAUGUACGGAUGGGUCGUCUACCCUCCCCAGUUGACCUGAAGGUACCUCCCAUACUCCAGCGGCCCCGCAUUUCUGAGAUGCGCUAGCGUUCAUUGUUCCUCGGAAGAACCCAGGGCAUUUUCUGGGGCGUUGUUUCAGAAGUUGGUGCCUGGAGGGUGACUCGGAGCGAGCGUCAUGUGGAGACGCUUCUGGCAGUUUUUCUGUUCUGUAGUAUACCAGAAUGUCUCGUUUUUCUGUUCUGUAGUACAUCAAAUGUUGACUCGCUUUCUUCCGUUUUCUGUUCUUUUCGUAGCUUCUUUUCCCUUGGAACGGUCUGUAUAUUCGAGACGGUAUCAUCGGACAACAAAGUGUUGAUUAUUAAUACGAAUUUUUUAUCAGCCUGC
This is an RNA transcript of Panicum hallii, 1871 nucleotides long. RefSeq lists it as uncharacterized. Lineage: Eukaryota; Viridiplantae; Streptophyta; Magnoliopsida; Poales; Poaceae. The record is from RefSeq and is a predicted model, not a curated record. The transcript is spliced from 15 exons.